Molecule: ribosomal RNA, 240 nt
Filed under: uncultured bacterium
Lineage: Bacteria
Description: partial 16S ribosomal RNA
Rfam family: Bacterial small subunit ribosomal RNA
Source: RNAcentral
AGCGGCGGACGGGUGAGUAACGCGUGGGUAACCUGCCUCAUACAGGGGGAUAACAGUUGGAAACGGCUGCUAAUACCGCAUAAGCGCACAGUACCGCAUGGUACGGUGUGAAAAACUCCGGUGGUAUGAGAUGGACCCGCGUCUGAUUAGCUAGUUGGUGGGGUAACGGCCUACCAAGGCGACGAUCAGUAGCCGGCCUGAGAGGGUGACCGGCCACAUUGGGACUGAGACACGGCCCAA